RNAcentral lists this ribosomal RNA (890 nucleotides) under uncultured bacterium. RNAcentral's name for it is "bacterial SSU rRNA". It matches the Rfam family "Bacterial small subunit ribosomal RNA", at positions 28 to 948 of the family's 1533-position model. The record is from RNAcentral.
AAUCAACGCUGGCGGCGUGCCUAACACAUGCAAGUCGCACGAGAAAGGGGCUUCGGCCCUGAGUAAAGUGGCGCACGGGUGAGUAACACGUGACUAACCUACCCUCGAGUGGGGAAUAACCUAGAGAAAUCUGGGCUAAUACCGCAUAACACUUACGAGUCAAAGCAGCAAUGCGCUUGGGGAGGGGGUCGCGGCAGAUUAGCUAGUUGGCGGGGUAAUGGCCCACCAAGGCGAUGAUCUGUAUCCGGCCUGAGAGGGCGCACGGACACACUGGAACUGAAACACGGUCCAGACUCCUACGGGAGGCAGCAGUGGGGAAUUUUGCGCAAUGGGGGAAACCCUGACGCAGCAACGCCGCGUGGAGGAUGAAAUCCCUUGGGAUGUAAACUCCUUUCGAUAGGGAAGAUAAUGACGGUACCUAUAGAAGAAGCCCCGGCUAACUUCGUGCCAGCAGCCGCGGUAAUACGAGGGGGGCAAGCGUUGUUCGGAAUUAUUGGGCGUAAAGGGCGCGUAGGCGGUUUGACAAGUCUUAUGUGAAAUCUCUGGGCUCAACCCAGAGUCUGCAUGGGAAACUGUCGGGCUUGAGUAUGGGAGAGGUGAGUGGAAUUUCCGGUGUAGCGGUGAAAUGCGUAGAUAUCGGAAGGAACACCUGUGGCGAAAGCGGCUCACUGGACCAUAACUGACGCUGAGGCGCGAAAGCUAGGGGAGCAAACAGGAUUAGAUACCCUGGUAGUCCUAGCCCUAAACGAUGAUUGCUUGAUGUGGCAGGUACCCAAUCCUGCCGUGUCGAAGCUAACGCGAUAAGCAAUCCGCCUGGGGGAGUACGGUCGCAAGGCUGAAACUCAAGGGAAUUGACGGGGGCCCGCACAAGCGGUGGAGCAUGUGGUUUA